This 650-nucleotide long non-coding RNA is filed under the name Brassica napus (rape). RNAcentral's name for it is "long non-coding RNA (BNAP_LNC025446)". The record is from RNAcentral. Lineage: Eukaryota; Viridiplantae; Streptophyta; Magnoliopsida; Brassicales; Brassicaceae.
UGAAGAUAAAUGUCAAGUUUCAAGGGAUAAUCAUGAAGAUCGAGAAAAAUGGAAUAUUUCCGCGAGAAGAUAAAUUCGAAUCAAGGGCAGAAAAUGGUCGGCUGGCCUUGGAGGCAUAUAUAAGGGGAGCCAAAGCAAGAAGCGCAUGUACAAUUCUUUUUAGACUCUUAGACUCUCUGCACUUAGAAGCUUUAGGCAUUACUCUCGACAUGUCAUGUUUCUAUGACGGGCACUCGAUUACUAGACGAACUCGUACAGGAAGUUCGAUCUCUUGUUCAAACUUUAUAAUCGAACUACGUUCGGCUUAAUCCUCGAAAGGGGUACGUAGGCAGCCUUUUAUAAGGUUCAGUCCGAAAAUCAACAAAACAUUUUUCGUAUCGUUUUCGUUUGUUGUUAUAGAGAUGCGACUCAAUUAGGUUUAAGGUUUUUGGUGGCUAGAAUUAGGGAACUCGCUGACAGCUCUUGCAGCCGAAGCUUCUUUAAUCUUUUAUAAUAUUCGAAAUGAUCUUACGUGGAUUCAAAAUAAAGAUCUACUUUCUAUGUAAAUCGUUUUGUUAUCUUUUCAUAUUUUCCGUAUUUAUUUGGUCACUUGUCGUUGGCUCUCCAGAAAAUCCAAGACCUCAGAGAAAGUUAGGAUUUCCUGACUUUCU